GAUGAAGAACGCAGCGAAAUGCGAUAAGUAAUGCGAAUUGCAGAAUUUCCGUGAGUCAUCGAAUCUUUGAACGCACAUUGCGCCCAUUGGCAUUCCGAUGGGCAUGCCUGUUCGAGCGUCAUUAUCCUCCCUCAAACCCCUGGGUUUGGUGUUGGACUGUGUGGUGCCUGGCACCACUGGUCUCAAAGACAAUGACGGCGUCCGUGGGACCCUCGGUGCAACGAGCUUUUCGAAGCACGCGUCGAGUGGCCAGUCUCUCCGGGCCGGUCACCUCUCCAAUUUUUCUCAGGUUGACCUCGGAUCAGGUAGGAAUACCCGCUGAACUUAAGCAUAUCAAUAAGCGGAGGA
RNAcentral lists this unclassified non-coding RNA (348 nucleotides) under soil metagenome. Its description in RNAcentral is "partial contains 5.8S ribosomal RNA, internal transcribed spacer 2, and large subunit ribosomal RNA". The stretch from base 1 to 121 matches the Rfam family "5.8S ribosomal RNA", at positions 35 to 154 of the family's 154-position model. The record is from RNAcentral.